Molecule: long non-coding RNA, 291 nt
Organism: Vanessa atalanta (red admiral)
Lineage: Eukaryota; Metazoa; Arthropoda; Insecta; Lepidoptera; Nymphalidae
Exons: 3
Source: RefSeq, a predicted model, not a curated record
GACCGGAGACUACUACAAUCUUACUAAGCCUUUGUCUAACUAUUGACCCGGACUAAAGGUUUUUUGAUUGAUCGCUGAAUGAUGGGCAUUUUGCUAAGCCAAAUAGAAUUCGAAUAAGUUUGUAAACGAUUAAAAUAUUUUGUAUAUGGGUUCGAAGCUUACUUUGACACACCGAGUAUACCGAGUAGGUACACCGAGCAAGGACACAGCAGCAGUGUGCGUAGAGCGAUGCCAGAGAGCGGCUUUCAUUCAUGCCGCCUCGGGCUACGUUCCUCACGAGAUCUCAUCAUC